Long non-coding RNA from Bos taurus (domestic cattle), 2143 nucleotides. NCBI's taxonomy places the organism in Eukaryota, Metazoa, Chordata, Mammalia, Artiodactyla, Bovidae. The record is from Ensembl.
GACCACUAACGUGGGCUGGGGACUUGAAGAGAACUUUUGCAGCAGGCCUGCCUCUCUGAAUUCCUGGUAAGACUGGGAGUGGUCGAGAGCUCAGGGCUUUUGUAUUUCAGAAAACCCAGUCCCCAUGGAUGCCAACUGCAGAUUUCCCAGCACAGAACAAAACUGUGUUUUCCCCUCUCGGGAACCCAUUUAACUAGCAGGCCUGUGAGCCACAGGUGAGGAGACCAGCUCUGUCCCCGAGAGGCCACACCCGUGGAAAAUGGGAAAGUCAUCUCCUUCCGUCUAAGCAGAAGGAGUGGCAAAGAGACCAAUUGGAUGGGGGUAGGGGCGCUGCAGAUAGGACUCAGGGACCAGGUAUUCUAGGUAAGGGGCCAGGAGAAGGCAGCUAUUCCAGCUUGCAGCAUCUCAGAGGCUGCACUAAGUGAAGACCAGAAUGUCAGGGGCAUUGCUCGGGCCCUCAGUCUGCAGGGGCUUGGGAUGUACCUCGGUCUUCACAGUGAUAAGGGCACAGCGCCCAGUGCCAUGUGGGGGCCAGCACGCCCUUCCCGGCCCCCACCAUCUGUAUGGUGGGGUCAGAAGCACUGGCCUCGAAAGAUUCAGAGAAGAAAAGACAGACAGCGUCGGCCCAAAAGCUGAAGAGAGGGGCUGACGCUGGACGGGAGGUGGUGAGUGUUCUCAGAGUUGGACCCUCAAAGAGGGCCGAGCCCCAUGUCCUGGCUAUUGUAAGUGGUCCUGCUGUGAACACUGCGGUACAUGUAUCUUUUUCAAUCAGAACUUUCUCUGGACAUAUGCCCAGGAGUGGGAUUGCAAGAUCAUAUGGUAACCCUAUUUUAAGUUUUGUAAGGAAUCUCUAUACUGUUUUCCAUAGUGGCUGCAUUUUUCUGUGUCUUUAAAUAAGACCAAUGAUGGUUCCAGCACCCCUCCACACAUUCUCCGCUUCUACCUCCCCAUCCCUGGAGCAGGGCUUUGUCCUUGUGGGAAAUAAAGCCCACCGGCACACACCCAAGGAACGGACUUGGAGACAAGAGGUGCGGCGGGAAGCGAGGCUUUAAUGACGGUCUUGCCAGGUGGAUUCUUUACCGACUGAGCUACCAGGAGAGUCCAUGAAUACUAGAAUGGGUAGCCUAUCCCUUCUUCAGGGGAUCUUCCCAACCCAGGAAUGGAACUGGGGUCUCCAGCCUUGAGGGCGGAUUGUUUACCAUCCGAGCCGCCGGAUGAGGUGACACGGUGACAUUGCAGGUUCUGAAGGAGUUACAGGGUGGGACUGGAGAGUCCUUGUUUCCAGUUGUUUCCAAGGUGGUCCGGUCAGAGGACCACCCUUCAGGUAGGAGGCUCUCAAGCCUAAAGACUUAAAGCUUUGCAGUUCAAGUGGUUCCUUGAUUGGACAAACCAGCAGCAUUUGGUGAAUUGGAAAAUCAGAUCCAAGCCUGGCUUCACUGAUUGCAAAAUGGGUGGGGUCAUGAGAAAGUUCAAAGGCCUCUGAGAGCCACCAGGGAAUUCUUAGGGGUUCCUGACAAGCCCACGGGAACUAGACAGGCGUGUCACUUCUACUGGCAACAACCAGGUGGCCGCUGAUCUGAGUGGGCCCGGGUCUCUCUCAGAAGAGCUCGGGGGGCUCCCCUGGUGGUCCGGGGGUUAAGAAUCCACCUGCCAAUGCAGGGAACACAGGUUUGAUCCCUGUUCCAGGAAAAUCCCACAUGCUGCAGAGCGACUAAGCCCGUGCUCCACAACUACUGAGCCAGCGCUCUGGAGCCUGCGAGCUGCCAGUACUGAAGCCUGGGUGCCUAGAGCCUGUGCUCCACGAGAAGAGAAGCCACUGCAGUGAGAAGCCCGAGCACCAAACGAAGAGCAGCCCCUGCUCGCCCCAAGUACAGAAAGCCUGAAUGCUAAUAAUGAUCGACGCUUGGGUUCUCAGUAGAGCAUAGGUUCCUCUGUCUCAGAGCAGGGUGACAGGGAAGGAAAGAGAUUAUUAGCAUAGAACCCUUGUGAGAGAUACAAGGGGGCUGGCGAGGGAGUGCCUCGCUGAGAACUUAGUGGCUACAUUUUUUAAAAAGUUUUAAGGGAGGAGACGCGUAUACCUUUGGCUGAUUCAUGUUGAUGUGUGGCAGAAACCAACACAACAUUGUAAAGCCCAAUUAAAAAU